CAGUCGCCGCGGGAAUACGGAGGGAGCUAGCGUUGUUCGGAAUUACUGGGCGUAAAGCGCGCGUAGGCGGUUACUCAAGUCAGAGGUGAAAGCCCGGGGCUCAACCCCGGAACUGCCUUUGAAACUAGGUGACUAGAAUCUUGGAGAGGUCAGUGGAAUUCCGAGUGUAGAGGUGAAAUUCGUAGAUAUUCGCAAGAACACCAGUGGCGAAGGCGGCUCACUGGCCCGGUACUGACGCUGAGGUGCGAAAGCGUGGGGAGCAAACAGGAUUAGAUACCCCAGUAGUCCCUGUCUCUUAUAC
This 301-nucleotide ribosomal RNA is filed under the name uncultured bacterium. RNAcentral's name for it is "partial 16S ribosomal RNA". It matches the Rfam family "Bacterial small subunit ribosomal RNA", at positions 509 to 807 of the family's 1533-position model. The record is from RNAcentral.